AUUGAACGCUGGCGGCAGGCUUAACACAUGCAAGUCGAGCGGAAACGAAGAUAGCUUGCUAUCAGGCGUCGAGCGGCGGACGGGUGAGUAACGCGUAGGAAUCUACCUAGUAGUGGGGGACAACCUGGUGAAAACCAGGCUAAUACCGCAUACGCCCUAUGGGGGAAAGCGUGGGACCUUCGGGCCACGUGCUAUUAGAUGAGCCUGCGUGAGAUUAGCUAGUUGGUAGGGUAAGAGCCUACCAAGGCGACGAUCUCUAGCUGGUUUGAGAGGAUGAUCAGCCACACUGGGACUGAGACACGGCCCAG
Molecule: ribosomal RNA, 308 nt
Filed under: uncultured bacterium
Lineage: Bacteria
Description: bacterial SSU rRNA
Rfam family: Bacterial small subunit ribosomal RNA
Source: RNAcentral